This 602-nucleotide ribosomal RNA is filed under the name Burkholderia sp. N2b14_1. RNAcentral's name for it is "bacterial SSU rRNA". It matches the Rfam family "Bacterial small subunit ribosomal RNA", at positions 404 to 998 of the family's 1533-position model. Lineage: Bacteria; Pseudomonadati; Pseudomonadota; Betaproteobacteria; Burkholderiales; Burkholderiaceae. RNAcentral also lists the same sequence under 58 other names. The record is from RNAcentral.
UGUGAAGAAGGCCUUCGGGUUGUAAAGCACUUUUGUCCGGAAAGAAAACUUCGUCCCUAAUAUGGAUGGAGGAUGACGGUACCGGAAGAAUAAGCACCGGCUAACUACGUGCCAGCAGCCGCGGUAAUACGUAGGGUGCGAGCGUUAAUCGGAAUUACUGGGCGUAAAGCGUGCGCAGGCGGUCUGUUAAGACCGAUGUGAAAUCCCCGGGCUUAACCUGGGAACUGCAUUGGUGACUGGCAGGCUUUGAGUGUGGCAGAGGGGGGUAGAAUUCCACGUGUAGCAGUGAAAUGCGUAGAGAUGUGGAGGAAUACCGAUGGCGAAGGCAGCCCCCUGGGCCAACACUGACGCUCAUGCACGAAAGCGUGGGGAGCAAACAGGAUUAGAUACCCUGGUAGUCCACGCCCUAAACGAUGUCAACUAGUUGUUGGGGAUUCAUUUCCUUAGUAACGUAGCUAACGCGUGAAGUUGACCGCCUGGGGAGUACGGUCGCAAGAUUAAAACUCAAAGGAAUUGACGGGGACCCGCACAAGCGGUGGAUGAUGUGGAUUAAUUCGAUGCAACGCGAAAAACCUUACCUACCCUUGACAUGGUCGGAACCC